This 62-nucleotide transfer RNA is filed under the name Diplodiscus japonicus. RNAcentral describes it as "tRNA-His". Lineage: Eukaryota; Metazoa; Platyhelminthes; Trematoda; Plagiorchiida; Diplodiscidae. The record is from RNAcentral.
UUCUGUAAGUUAAUGUUAGACUGUUAAUUUGUGGUGUUAUUAGUUCCAGGUUUUGGGCAGAG